GUAGACAUAGUUUAAUAAAGACGUUAGAUUGUGAUUCUAAAAAUAGGAGAUAAAACCCCCUUGUCAACC
This 69-nucleotide transfer RNA is filed under the name Heteroconger hassi (spotted garden-eel). Its description in RNAcentral is "tRNA-His". It matches the Rfam family "tRNA". From Rfam's summary of the family: Transfer RNA (tRNA) molecules are approximately 80 nucleotides in length. Their secondary structure includes four short double-helical elements and three loops (D, anti-codon, and T loops). The record is from RNAcentral. Lineage: Eukaryota; Metazoa; Chordata; Actinopteri; Anguilliformes; Congridae.